This 414-nucleotide ribosomal RNA is filed under the name uncultured bacterium. RNAcentral describes it as "bacterial SSU rRNA". It matches the Rfam family "Bacterial small subunit ribosomal RNA", at positions 379 to 786 of the family's 1533-position model. The record is from RNAcentral.
CAGCCUGAUCAGCAAUGCCGCGUGUGUGAAGAAGGCCUGCGGGUUGUAAAGCACUUUCAGUCGGGAAGAACAGGGGUUGGCGAACAGCCGGCCCGCUUGACGUAACCGGCAGAAGAAGCACCGGCUAACUCCGUGCCAGCAGCCGCGGUAAUACGGAGGGUGCGAGCGUUAAUCGGAAUUACUGGGCGUAAAGGGCGCGUAGGCGGCCAGAUCAGUCAGAUGUGAAAGCCCCGGGCUCAACCUGGGAACUGCAUUUGAUACUGUCUGGCUGGAGUUUGAUAGAGGGGAGUGGAAUUUCCGGUGUAGCGGUGAAAUGCGUAAAGAUCGGAAGGAACACCAGUGGCGAAGGCGACUCCCUGGAUUAAAACUGACGCUGAGGUGCGAAAGCGUGGGUAGCAAACAGGAUUAGAUACC